This is a long non-coding RNA of Homo sapiens (human), 803 nucleotides long. NCBI's taxonomy places the organism in Eukaryota, Metazoa, Chordata, Mammalia, Primates, Hominidae. The record is from Ensembl.
UAGAGCUCCCUAUUUGUGUGGCUCAACGUGCAAGGGGCCCCACAGCAUCCCGGAGCUCCACGGAGGUGACCAUGUGCCACUGCCUGCUUGUGCCCAGUUAAAUGGAUUCGGGAACUCUGUUAGCGGAUUUAAAUAGUGGUCACAAAACAAAUAGUAACAAUAACAAUAAUUCUUCUGCUGCAGGAUAACUGGCCCUUGAUGCAGCUCAGCAUCAUGAGUGGUUCUGGGCUUAAAGAGAUUAAAGAAACAUAAAACCAAAUGUGGCACAAGAACCCUUAUGGUGUCCUAGGUUGGGAGGCUUAUAAAAUCUUCCACAGGACAAUUCAAGAAAUGAGUGGGGACUUGUGGAAGAUUCAUUUUCUUAGGUGCAGCAAUAGGACUGUGGUUGUGUGGUUUUAGGAGCCAGUAUCCUGGAGUCUGCAGGGGAGGGGCUCCCAGGGUGGUAGGGCAGAGAGGAGCCAAGCAGCAGGGUGCGGUCAGCACCGAGGUGGCUCGGGUGCACGCACUCCUCUCUCCAUAGUGGAAUCGUUUUAAAAAUUCCUGUACCAAAAGCAAGCUGCAGAGUGAAGACAGUACUGAGUAUAAAACAAGCUAGCAAGAGCACGUCUAGCCCAGCCCAGCCCACCCCAGCCUUUCUCCUGCCUGGGGACAUGGUGCAAAGCAGAGGGGUCAUUGGGGUCUGAGGUGUUGGCCCCCCCAAAAAUACCCAAAAAACCAUGGGAAAUGGAUGUAAGUCAUUUGUUACUCAUUCUGAACCCUUCCCUAAGAAAAUAUUGUACCUGAGAAUAUCAGCUAAUGAUGGU